CCCCACUGCUGCCCCUGUGGUCAGUGUCCAGCUGGACAGGGAGAGAAGAGGAUAGUUUGGGAAUACAGAGCUGGCCAGGAGCCUCUACACACAAGCUCGAGAGUUUCCCUGCUUCUUCAGCAGCCCCGUGGUGCUGAGGAUUUUCCCAAACGAUUCUUAUUUCCCCUUUCUCCGCUACCAGACUUUUCUUUUCUACCAAAUCAUGGAGAGGAGAGCCCCGAGCCAGCCCAGGGUGGCCUGGGAGGAGGACGGGGGUCCCCAGGAAAGCAGCUCCCCAGUGGAGCCCUACGAGGUGACAAUGGUGCAGCCCCUGCAGACGGCAACCAACCAAUGAAGCAACACGUGAGACAUGAAUCUCUCCAUCCCAUAGAAGAGAAAUGCACUACAGUUUGUCAGCAGCUGUUCCCAUUCAGAUUGGCUGAAAGGAAGGAAGAAGGAAGAAAGUGCAUGGAGACACUGUGGUUUUAUGGCUUGGAUUUACAAACCAUCAUGAGCAAAGCCAGAAAUUACACUUCCGCUCACAGAUGUGUAUUCAUCAAAGGCUGCACCAGAAGAUUUUCUAUCCAAAUUAGAUUAUUUACUGGGGAGCCACCGGGAACCCCGGAGCCAAGGUGGGAUUUGGGGGAAUUUGGGGAAUUUGGGGAAUUUUGGGGGGAUUUGGGGAGAAUUUGGGGAUUUUUGGGGGAGAUUUUGGGGAAUUUGGGAAUUUUUGGGGAAUUUUUGGGGAGAUUUUGGGAAUUCUGGGGAGAAUUUGGGAAUUUUUGGGGGAGAUUUUGGGGAAUUUGGGAAUUUUUGGGUCUGUUGAAAGGAUUUGGGGAAGAAUUUUGGAAUUUGGGGGGAUUUUGGGGGGAAUUGGGGAAAUUUGGGAGAAUUUUGGGGGUUUUUGGGGAAUUUGGGGGGAGAAUUUGGGGAAUUUUGGGAAUUUUGGGGAAAGUUUGGGGAAUUUUUUGGGUGAUUUUUCAGGGGAUUUUUGGGGAUUUGGGGUUUUUGGGUGGGAUUUUGGGAAUUUUGGGAUUUUGGGUGGGUUUGGGAUUUGGGGAAUUUUUGGGGGAAUUUUGGGAAAUUGGGGGAAUUUUUAGGGAAUUUUGUGGGAAUAUUUUUUAAUUUGGGGUUUUUGGGUGGGAUUCUGGGAAUUUUUGGGGAAUUUUUUGGGAUUUUUCAGGGGAUUUUUGGGGAUUUGGGGUUUCUGGGUGGGAUUUGGGGAAUUUUGGGAUUUUGGGUGGAAUCUGGGGGAUUUUUCACCCUCCC
Long non-coding RNA from Passer domesticus (house sparrow), 1248 nucleotides. RefSeq lists it as uncharacterized. NCBI's taxonomy places the organism in Eukaryota, Metazoa, Chordata, Aves, Passeriformes, Passeridae. The record is from RefSeq and is a predicted model, not a curated record. The transcript has 3 exons.